GAUAAACGCUGGCGGCGUGCUUAACACAUGCAAGUCGAACGAUGACCCCGUGCUUGCACGGGUGAUUAGUGGCGAACGGGUGAGUAACACGUGAGUAACCUGCCCCCGACUUUGGGAUAAGCCCGGGAAACUGGGUCUAAUACCGGAUAUGACUUCUUACCGCAUGGUGGGUUGUUGAAAGAUUUAUCGGUGGGGGAUGGACUCGCGGCCUAUCAGCUUGUUGGUGAGGUAAUGGCUCACCAAGGCGACGACGGGUAGCCGGCCUGAGAGGGUGACCGGCCACACUGGGACUGAGACACGGCCCAGACUCCUACGGGAGGCAGCAGUGGGGAAUAUUGCACAAUGGGCGAAAGCCUGAUGCAGCGACGCCGCGGGAGGGAUGACGGCCUUCGGGUUGUAAACCUCUUUCAGUAGGGAAGAAGCGAAAGUGACGGUACCUGCAGAAGAAGCGCCGGCUAACUACGUG
This 466-nucleotide ribosomal RNA is filed under the name uncultured bacterium. Its description in RNAcentral is "partial 16S ribosomal RNA". It matches the Rfam family "Bacterial small subunit ribosomal RNA", at positions 28 to 507 of the family's 1533-position model. The record is from RNAcentral.